Molecule: long non-coding RNA, 770 nt
Organism: Pan troglodytes (chimpanzee)
Lineage: Eukaryota; Metazoa; Chordata; Mammalia; Primates; Hominidae
Exons: 3
Source: RefSeq, a predicted model, not a curated record
AUGGUGGAGCCGGUACCCGGCUGUAAGGCAAGCUGGGAUGCGCGGAGUAGCGGGUGGAAAGCUGGACUGGAGUUCUCACUCGGCCGCUGGGUGACUUCGGUGCACUAGGGAUAGUAACAGUACCACCUCGUAGGGUUGUAGAAAGACCAAGUGAGUUAAUAUUUGUAAAGUGUUUAGAACAGCGUCUACUGCAUGGAAAGUAGUAUUUAUUUGUUAGAGAGACUCCAGGAGGUCUUGCCCAGUGAUUGACUUCUCCCUUCCCUGUCUCCACCCCCCACAUUCCCGUUUGUGAGCCAAGCCUUGCUUUUGCACCGGCCGGGCUCUCUUGCCUGGAAAUGCAUACCCAUCUCAAACCUGGGCUUUAAAAUCACCUCCUCUGGGACGCCUUCCUCUACUUCUCACAGUUUAGGCCUGUUCUGCCCCACACAGCAGAAAAUGCCCACGAUGCAAUACCAGAGUCUGCAUGGGACCAUUUCAACAACCCUUAGAAGCUGACUCAGCUGUCUCCUGGCCCUGACUUUUCUAAGAUGAGAGGAGCUGAUAGGAACAAUUUGGGAACCCUCAAAGGCUGAGAGUAUCCCACCCACUUCACAGAUGAAGCAAACUGAGGCCCAGAGAAGGGAAAUUACUUGCCCAAGAUCACCCAGCAAGUAAGAAACAGAGCUGGAGAUGAGCUCAGGCCAGCACGGAACCACGCAAACUCCUUCUGUAGGCUUUAUAAACGGUUGAUGAGAAAAGCAGAUGGUUAAGAGCUCUACAACUUCUGUGAG